This 492-nucleotide ribosomal RNA is filed under the name uncultured bacterium. RNAcentral describes it as "partial 16S ribosomal RNA". It matches the Rfam family "Bacterial small subunit ribosomal RNA", at positions 29 to 507 of the family's 1533-position model. The record is from RNAcentral.
AUUGAACGCUGGCGGCAUGCUUUACACAUGCAAGUCGAACGGUAACAGGCCUUCGGGUGCUGACGAGUGGCGAACGGGUGAGUAAUGCAUCGGAACGUACCCAGAGGUGGGGGAUAACGCAGCGAAAGCUGUGCUAAUACCGCAUGUGAUCUGAGGAUGAAAGCGGGGGACCGAGCAGCAAUGUUUGGCCUCGCGCCUUUGGAGCGGCCGAUGUCGGAUUAGCUAGUUGGUGGGGUAAAGGCCUACCAAGGCGACGAUCCGUAGCUGGUCUGAGAGGACGACCAGCCACACUGGGACUGAGACACGGCCCAGACUCCUACGGGAGGCAGCAGUGGGGAAUUUUGGACAAUGGGCGCAAGCCUGAUCCAGCAAUGCCGCGUGCGGGAAGAAGGCCUUCGGGUUGUAAACCGCUUUUGGCAGCAACGAAACGGUGUCCGCUAAUACCGGGCGCUAAUGACGGUACCUGCAGAAUAAGCACCGGCUAACUACGUG